Molecule: ribosomal RNA, 729 nt
Filed under: uncultured bacterium
Lineage: Bacteria
Description: bacterial SSU rRNA
Rfam family: Bacterial small subunit ribosomal RNA
Source: RNAcentral
GAAGCUUGCUUCCUAUGAAAUCGAGUGGCAAACGGGUGAGUAACGCGUAAACAACCUGCCCUUCGGAUGGGGAUAACAGCCGGAAAUGGCUGCUAAUACCGAAUACGAUCUUUUCGUCGCAUGACGGAAAGAAGAAAGGAUGGCCUCUAUACAAAGCUAUCGCCGAAGGAGGGGUUUGCGUCUGAUUAGCUGGUUGGAGGGGUAACGGCCCAACAAGGCGAUGAUCAGUAGCCGGUCUGAGAGGAUGAACGGCCACAUUGGGACUGAGACACGGCCCAGACUCCUACGGGAGGCAGUAGUGGGGAAUCUUCCGCAAUGGACGAAAGUCUGACGGAGCAACGCCGCGUGAGUGAAGAAGGUCUUCGGAUUGUAAAGCUCUGUUAUACGGGACGAAAAAGACGGAUGCCAACAGUAUCCGUCCGUGACGGUACCGUAAGAGAAAGCCACGGCUAACUACGUGCCAGCAGCCGCGGUAAUACGUAGGUGGCAAGCGUUGUCCGGAAUUAUUGGGCGUAAAGGGCGCGCAGGCGGUUCGGUAAGUCUGUCUUAAAAGUGCGGGGCUUAACCCCGUGAGGGGACGGAAACUGUCGAACUUGAGUGUCGGAGAGGAAAGCGGAAUUCCUAGUGUAGCGGUGAAAUGCGUAGAUAUUAGGAGGAACACCGGUGGCGAAAGCGGCUUUCUGGACGACAACUGACGCUGAGGCGCGAAAGCGUGGGGAGCAAACAGGA